AGCGAACGCUGGCGGCAGGCUUAACACAUGCAAGUCGAACGGGCGUAGCAAUACGUCAGUGGCAGACGGGUGAGUAACGCGUGGGAACGUACCUUUUGGUUCGGAACAACACAGGGAAACUUGUGCUAAUACCGGAUAAGCCCUUACGGGGAAAGAUUUAUCGCCGAAAGAUCGGCCCGCGUCUGAUUAGCUAGUUGGUGAGGUAAUGGCUCACCAAGGCGACGAUCAGUAGCUCCGGUUGAGAGGAUGAUCAGCCACACUGGGACUGAGACACGGCCCAGACUCCUACGGGAGGCAGCAGUGGGGAAUAUUGGACAAUGGGGGCAACCCUGAUCCAGCCAUGCCGCGUGAGUGAUGAAGGCCCUAGGGUUGUAAAGCUCUUUUGUGCGGGAAGAUAAUGACGGUACCGCAAGAAUAAAGCCCCGGCUAACUUCGUG
RNAcentral lists this ribosomal RNA (437 nucleotides) under uncultured bacterium. RNAcentral's name for it is "bacterial SSU rRNA". It matches the Rfam family "Bacterial small subunit ribosomal RNA", at positions 29 to 507 of the family's 1533-position model. The record is from RNAcentral.